GGAAUAUCACAGGUGGGGUCGUCACGGGGUGUUAGAACUGUUAGAAUGCUCAGGAGAAGAUGAGGCACAUGGAGAACGGGAACUCUUGCACCUCCGGUUUCUUGGAUAUGGAUGCAUGUUCGCCAGUUCACUGACUCGAUGCAGGACAGACUUUGGCAAAGGUCGCCAAGACAGGUUAUGUUUACCCUUUUCCGUUGAUUUGCUUUGUUUCUGUAGAUAAGUUGCUUUAAGAAGAUUCCUCCAUUUAUCCUGCAAGACGUAUGAGCAACAGAGUGCCGACUUUAGGUAAGUA
RNAcentral lists this unclassified non-coding RNA (292 nucleotides) under Hevea brasiliensis (rubber tree). The record is from RNAcentral. Lineage: Eukaryota; Viridiplantae; Streptophyta; Magnoliopsida; Malpighiales; Euphorbiaceae.